Molecule: non-coding RNA, 90 nt
Organism: Schizophyllum commune H4-8
Lineage: Eukaryota; Fungi; Basidiomycota; Agaricomycetes; Agaricales; Schizophyllaceae
Source: the annotation of a RefSeq genome assembly
UCGGAUAUGGUGUAACGGCCAACAUUGCCGCCUCUCAUGAUCACGACAUCAACUGCGCGGCAGCUCGGGGCUCGAUUCCCCGUAUCCGAA